RNAcentral lists this ribosomal RNA (109 nucleotides) under Pteropus alecto (black flying fox). The record is from RNAcentral. Lineage: Eukaryota; Metazoa; Chordata; Mammalia; Chiroptera; Pteropodidae.
GUCUACGGCCAUGCUACCCUGAAUAAGCCCAAUCCCAUCUGAUCUCGGAAGCUAAGCCUGGUUAGUGCUUGGAUGGGAGACCACCUAGGAAGACCAGGUGCUGUAGGUG